This is a non-coding RNA of Acanthosepion pharaonis, 106 nucleotides long. The record is from the annotation of a GenBank genome assembly. NCBI's taxonomy places the organism in Eukaryota, Metazoa, Mollusca, Cephalopoda, Sepiida, Sepiidae.
UAUAUCACGUUAAAAUACCAGUGCCCGUAAGAUCACCGAAGUUAAACAACGUCGAGCCAGGUCAAUACGAAGAUGGGUGACCGCUUAGAAAUAUUAGGUGUUGUAA